RNAcentral lists this ribosomal RNA (460 nucleotides) under uncultured bacterium. Its description in RNAcentral is "partial 16S ribosomal RNA". It matches the Rfam family "Bacterial small subunit ribosomal RNA", at positions 338 to 795 of the family's 1533-position model. The record is from RNAcentral.
CCUACGGGAGGCAGCAGUGAGGAAUAUUGGUCAAUGGGCGUAAGCCUGAACCAGCCAAGUCGCGUGAGGGAUGAAGGUUCUAUGGAUCGUAAACCUCUUUUAUAAGGGAAUAAAGUGUGGGACGUGUCCUAUUUUGUAUGUACCUUAUGAAUAAGGAUCGGCUAACUCCGUUCCAGCAGCCGCGGUAAUACGGAGGAUCCGAGCGUUAUCCGGAUUUAUUGGGUUUAAAGGGUGCGUAGGCGGCCUUUUAAGUCAGGGGUGAAAGUCUGUGGCUCAACCAGAGAAUUGCCGUUGAAACUGGGGGGCUGGAGUAUGUGUGGGGGAGGCGGAAUGCGUGGUGUAGCGGUGAAAUGCUUAGAUAUCACGCAGAACCCCGAUGGCGAAGGAAGCUUGCCAGGCCAUGACUGACGCUGAUGCACGAAAGCGUGGGGAGCAAACAGGAUUAGAUACCCGAGUAGUC